GCUCUGUGUGUGUUAGGGCAUGCCUUCAAUGCUCAACCAGGUACUCUGCUCUAUUUUGGCUUCACUUCUUACUUGCAUGGGGCGAGCCAGAGGCACACGGGAUGUUUGUGCUUCCUCAUCUCUAAAAGUCAGUUACAGCCAUCUGGCUGUCAUUGACCAAUGAAGUGGGAACAGAAGCGAUAUGUGUCACUUCAGGCAGAAGCACGGAAGAGCUACGGUGGGAUUCUCCAGGCUGUCUUCCCUUGCAAAGGUGAAUCUUGAAGCCACACAUUGAGCUGACAACAUUGAAGGAUAAUAAAGCCUCCAGCAACUUCCAUUCCAGGAUGACAAUGAAAGCAGGGGCGACUUGUGUCUUCCCCCACCUUGCUGGUGGCAGCUACUUUUCUGUAAGCUGCAUACUGAACAUGCCAAAUCUGGCACAUUGUGGCCUGGCUGAAGAACAUGCCUCCAAGGGACAGCAGCACUGGCCAGACCACAUCUGAAGCCCCUGCUGAUUCAGCUCAGCAGAACCCUAGUGAUUCCCAGGUGAAGCCCUUGUCCCCUCCUAAGGAGCCUUUGGUCAACCAGAUUUUCAUUCCCGAAUGCUGUUAAAUUUAGCAACUGCCUCUGCGUUAUUUGGUUCAGGAAGGGGAGCAGAGAUGGAAGGCAAAGCAGUUCUGCCUCAAGCAGCCAUCCAGGAAGGCUCGGCAGUGGACAAGGCCAUUUCCACACCAAGGGAGCUACAGUUAGGAACAAGUCCUGGAGUCCUAGUUAUUUAUGGCUUGCUUCAGACAUUUCAGUUGUAUAUAUCUUCAGGACCAAAAAACUUUGGGUCAAAUAAAUCUGGC
This 827-nucleotide long non-coding RNA is filed under the name Homo sapiens (human). RNAcentral describes it as "HSALNT0182244". The record is from RNAcentral. Lineage: Eukaryota; Metazoa; Chordata; Mammalia; Primates; Hominidae.